Malaclemys terrapin pileata is the source of this 826-nucleotide long non-coding RNA. RefSeq lists it as uncharacterized. Lineage: Eukaryota; Metazoa; Chordata; Testudines; Emydidae. The transcript has 3 exons. The record is from RefSeq and is a predicted model, not a curated record.
AUGAUUAUUGGAUGGGGGCAGAGUGCCUUUGCUUUCCCCCCCUCCUCCUGUUAUGCAUGCCCCUGUGGCUGAUAAAACCAUGCAAUUUUCCUGUGUUUUUGUCAGCAGCGAGGUUGCAAGUGAGAGUCAGCACCAGAGAGAGAAGCUGAAUUUUCCAUCUUUGCUCUUCUUUUCUUUCCCCUUUUGUGUGUGUUUGCUUGUUUUGUGCUCUAGAAUACAGGACUGGACUUUAACAACAGCAAUGACAACAGCUGGAGCCCAUCUCAAUCAACUUCUCUUUUUUCCAAAAGCGGUAUCUAGAGACUCCUGCCACAAUUGGGGCCAUAUCGUGCUAGGUGAUGUAUAAGCACAUAAUAAGAGACAGUCCCUACCUCAAAUUGUCUAAAAUGUGCACAGUCACUUGUUUCCUUCGCAUAGCGGGAUGAAGGAGAUGGAAGCACAGUAGCAGCUAUUCCCUGCUGCCUCUCACAGGAUCCUGUCCAAACAUAUCUACUUCUGGGAGAAGGAAGAGGCUUACUGUUGAACAGGCAGAUAAAAGGGGCUGUGCAUAUCAAUUAAGACAAUCAGUAGGUUUUAUUUACAACAAUUUUAGCCAACACUUUUUGGCAGAACUCACCCAAAUCUAGUGCAAACCUCACAAAUGAAGAGAUUUGUUUCUAUUCUGGAACGCUCACUUCUUGAGAAAAAGGUCUAUUAACCUUUUUAAAAUAAGGAAACUUACAGUGAAAUAGGAGAAGUGGCACUUGCAUAGUUUAUCAUGUCCCUCAUGGAAGUUCUAUGGAAAUCAUCUCUAAUAAAUAGAAUUUCACCACUCUGACGUGGUAAU